RNAcentral lists this long non-coding RNA (2252 nucleotides) under Anser cygnoides (Swan goose). Its description in RNAcentral is "lncRNA (ENSACDG00005004886.1)". Lineage: Eukaryota; Metazoa; Chordata; Aves; Anseriformes; Anatidae. The record is from RNAcentral.
UUCUAUAAGAGACUGGAAGCAAGCAUGUGUUUCAAAACAGAGCUCUGUUAGCUCCACUAUGAUGAGUUUCCCCUUUUUUUUUUUCCUCUCUCUUUGUUAAAAUAUUGUUGAAUUUGUUGUAUUUUAAACCCUAUAGUGAUAUCAGGACCAUAUUACAACAAUGCUUUUUAACUGGGUUUGAAAUGCCUUGUUAUUUUCUACAGUCAUAAAAUGAUCUAAUCAGAUGUCAUUGGUGUCUUCAGCCAUAUGUGUAUUGUAUACUUGGGUUUGUAAUCAGAUGCAUUAGCCAACAGUACAAAAAUCUCAUGCAACUUAAGUAUUUGAGUAGAAUACUAAAACCAAAACAAAACAAACCCAGAAUAAUAUAAACAUUUAUUUAUAGUGUUUCAUCUGACUCUAUGGUAAACCAUAAUAUUAUACUUACUUGAACCUAAUCAACUAAACUGCAUGUUAAAAGCCCGGGGUCAGGUUAUUAAGGAAAGAUUUUGUAGAACAAAUUCCACAUAGUCACUGUAAAUUACAUCUGCAUGAAAAUCAGUGUCAGCUGUUGUAUAAUAUCAGAUCUUUAAAGUAUGCCUGCAGUCCUUUAGAGAUGCAUUUGGGCAAGAGCCACUCCUGUUGCUGAAAUCAAUGAAUCAUAGAGUUGGUUGGAAGGAGCACUUCGAGGAGCACUACCUCAAAUCUAGCACCAGCAACACAUGAAGUUAGCUUUGUGUAAUUAAACCUUGAAAAUCAAUAGAGAUUCUCUAAUCUCUUCUGAUAUCCUCUUCUGAUACUGCACAUUUUAUUAUAGGAAUGAAAUUUUUUAUCCUAAUCCUUGACUUGGACCUCCUAUGCCUCUUAAAUCCCUCUUGCAGACAGGGCUCAGAAGCAAAACCUGAAGCAGAAACCAAGUCUUGUGAUUUUCAGGGUACUGGGACUAAGCUGGUAUUGCAUGGCAGGUCAUGCAGGCCCAUAACAAUCACUUACUAGAUGAUUUCUAAUCAGUAAUUUCAUGAUAAAAGCUUGAGAGUCAUAUGAAGAGAGUAAGGUAUCUACUUUGCUGAUACCAAAACACUCCAUGAUGCACUGAUGGCUCACAAGGUUUGUAAAUCAAAAAAAUGUGAAUGUUUCUCCACAAUACUGUUUUUUGAAGGAGAGGCCAAAUCUUUUGUUAGGUUGAGGUUUUAAUCCCAUUCAGUCUUUGGGUGUUUGAGGAUAACUCUUUGAUAAAAUAUGGGAAGAAUGGUGAUAAUAAUGGUGAUAUGGGAAGAAUUAUGGUGAUAAUUCAUUUCUCCGUGUGAAAGUGUAUUGAUUAACACCUGUGAAUAUUUUCUUUUGAUUAUUUGGAAGCAUUAUAUUUCAUUCAGCUUGUUUCUGCAGUGUUCCUUUCCUUAGUCUCAAAACUUGCUCAUUUAAACCUGCUUUUAAAGAAAGCUGUUGUAACGGAUGGUUUGUCUUGGCUCACUCUCGUUUGCAAAUGGUAUUCAGUUCUUAUAUUAAUUUCUCAUGCUUGUCUUAUUUAGCUGUCUGUAGUUGGGUAUGGGAACACUGCUUUACAAAACCCCACAAAGCAGCAGAAAUAAUGAUUCAUUAACAGAAACUGACAAUUGUGUAUAUUUUAGAAAAAAUGACAGUGUGGAUCUCGUGCUUGAAGGGACAAGUUCAUGCAUGGUCCCUGUCCACUGACAGCAGAACAUCUGAGGGAAAAAGCAAGCAUUGUUGUUCAGUAAAAGGGGUGCUGCAGAAAGGAAGGGAGGGAUGGCCCUGCAGAUCUCACUGAGAAUGGGGAGCUUGACACAGGGUAGCAGGGAGGAAAGAAAGGGGAGGAGCACAAUGUUGAAAUCAUAUAGCAGUUUGUCUAAUUAAAACCAGAUGUGCAUAGUGAUCAAGAUAUUCUUAACUUUUGUCUUCCUUUUCCUUUUUUUUUUUUUGUUUCCAUAGUGUAAGCCAAGAGAAAUGGAGUAUCUUCAGAGUCUGACAUCCAAACUGCAUGUAUAAUAUAAUCAGUGGAUGAUGGGAUUCAUAUCUAAAAGGUCACUUUCAUUUUAUUUGAAUAUGCCAUGGUUUUGCUGCAGCAGCACAGACCCUUCUACCCUAAAGUAUUAUUUAACCUCUUAUCUUUCCAGGGCUUUAAUCUGCACAGUCUCACUCUUUUGAAAUGGGUCCAUGUCUGGAACCUGUUUCUGCUUUUAGGAAACUCUUCCAUGCAUUAACCUUUGCAUUAUGAGCACAGACCUCCUAGUUAAUAAAUGGAGCCAUGUGCUGUGGCA